GAAGGCAGUCCAACCGUGGCGAUGGUAGACCACGGCUAAGGGUGUAGGACGAGCGGACAGGCAAAUCCGCCGCUCAUGUGUCUGAGACCUGAUGGGGACCCCGUAGGGGGGAAGUGGAUGAUCCUAUGCUGUCGAGAAAAACCUCUAGCGAGCUAUGCGCCGCCCGUACCCCAAACCGACUCAGGUGAUCAGGUAGAGAAUACCAAGGCGAUCGAGACAACCAUGGUUAAGGAACUCGGCAAAAUGCCCCCGUAACUUCGGGAGAAGGGGGGCCGGAUCCGUGAGAGGACUUGCUCCUCAAAGCGGUGAUGGCCGCAGAGACCAGGCCCAAGCGACUGUUUACUAAAAACACAGGUCCGUGCGAAGUUGUAAGACGAUGUAUACGGACUGACUCCUGCCCGGUGCUGGAAGGUUAAGGGGACCGGUUAGAG
RNAcentral lists this ribosomal RNA (431 nucleotides) under Paraphysomonas bandaiensis. Its description in RNAcentral is "partial Bacterial large subunit ribosomal RNA". It matches the Rfam family "Bacterial large subunit ribosomal RNA", at positions 1478 to 1895 of the family's 2925-position model. Lineage: Eukaryota; Chrysophyceae; Chromulinales; Paraphysomonadaceae. The record is from RNAcentral.